GAUGAACGCUAGCGGCAGGCUUAACACAUGCAAGUCGAGGGGCAGCAUGGGGAGUAGCAAUACUCUCUGAUGGCGACCGGCGCAAGGGUGCGUAACGCGUGAGCAACUUGCCCUCAUCAGGGGAAUAAUCGCUGGAAACGGCGUCUAAUGCCCCAUGGCGAUGGAAUCAGGCAUCUGGUUCCAUCUAAAGAUCCGUCGGAUGAGGAUAGGCUCGCGUGACAUUAGCUUGACGGCGGGGUAACGGCCCACCGUGGCGACGAUGUCUAGGGGUUCUGAGAGGAAGGUCCCCCACACUGGAACUGAGACACGGUCCAGACUCCUACGGGAGGCAGCAGUGAGGAAUAUUGGUCAAUGGCCGGAAGGCUGAACCAGCCAUGCCGCGUGAAGGUCAGUGCCCUAUGGGCGUUAAACUUCUUUUGUGCGGGAGCAAUAAGGUCCACGUG
This 443-nucleotide ribosomal RNA is filed under the name uncultured bacterium. RNAcentral describes it as "bacterial SSU rRNA". It matches the Rfam family "Bacterial small subunit ribosomal RNA", at positions 28 to 462 of the family's 1533-position model. The record is from RNAcentral.